CCUACGGGAGGCUGCAGUAGGGAAUAUUGCUCAAUGGGGGAAACCCUGAAGCAGCAACGCCGCGUGAGGGAUGAAGGUUUUAGGAUUUUAAACUCCUUUUGUGAGGGAAGAUAAUGACGGUAUCUCACGAAUAAGCACGGGCUAACGCCGUGCGAGCAGCGGCGGGAAUACGGAGGGUGCAAGCGUUACUCGGAAUCACUGGGCGGAAAGAGUGCGCAGGCGGGCUUGUAAGUCAGAUGUGAAAUCCUGUAGCUUAACUACAGAACUGCAUUGGAAACUAUGAGUCUAGAGUGUGGGAGAGGUAGGUGGAAUUCUUGGUGUAGGGGUAAAAUCCGUAGAUAUCAAGAGGAAUACUCAUUGCGAAGGCGACCUACUGGAACAUUACUGACGCUCAUGCACGAAAGCGUGGGGAGCAAACAGGAUUAGAUACCCUAGUAGUC
This 440-nucleotide ribosomal RNA is filed under the name uncultured bacterium. RNAcentral's name for it is "partial 16S ribosomal RNA". It matches the Rfam family "Bacterial small subunit ribosomal RNA", at positions 338 to 795 of the family's 1533-position model. The record is from RNAcentral.